AAAAAAUGAGAACGGCCCAACUCAAACCUUGACUUUUACUCCAUCCACGACCACCUUGACGGCAACAACCGCGGUUGCCUGGCAACUACGACAUUUCCGGUCCAGUCAAACCAGCUAAUAGUACGCAGGUGUGUUUAACUCGCCUACAAGUCUUCCAAACUCGCUUUUCUGGCCCAUGUUAAGGGAACAUGCCGGCUGAACGUAAGUUCGGUUCGACAUGUUCGUGAAGGUGUGUUUAUUACUCGUAUUUGGGUGUCUUCGGAAUCGUUACGACUGGCCGUCGAGCCAAGAUGCCCGGUGAGCCCCACCACCUGCCGGUAAGCGACCGCCGAGUGGUGGCGGCGGCUCGCUUCGCCGUGGCCGAAUUCGACGGAGUCACGACCUACCGAGGAACAGUUUCUUGAAUACGUCAGCCAAAGUUCAGUGGCCCCACCUACCCCUUCAUCCCGUCGAGGAGGCAGUCCCAAGAAGAAGGAAGAGAGGAAUAGGGGAGGGGUCGGAUCCCCUCCCCUCAGCCCCCAUUGACACACAUACAUACUCACUUCUUCCUGGCUCAUACAUGCACUCUGCUCCAUGAGGGGAGCAGCGGCUGAGGAGGGAGCGAGAGAGAGAGAGAACACGCCAGCGUCUGCAGGUGUCCCACCCUCCAGCUCCUUUUCCUCCUCAUGGAUGCUUCAUGACGUGUGUGCCAUACAUGGAGGGAAGCCAAGAUGGAACGAUGCAAGGCUGAAGUCGCUCCCCACAAACCGAGUGAGCGUGAUUGUUU
Long non-coding RNA from Hippocampus comes (tiger tail seahorse), 766 nucleotides. RefSeq lists it as uncharacterized. NCBI's taxonomy places the organism in Eukaryota, Metazoa, Chordata, Actinopteri, Syngnathiformes, Syngnathidae. The transcript has 3 exons. The record is from RefSeq and is a predicted model, not a curated record.